GCUUUUCACUUCCAAUGAAGACUGACUCUCCUAGGGAAAGAAUAGGAAUAUCUACAGUUCACUAAAUGUAGUCCACAGAUUUCAUUGCAUGACUGAAAGAGAAGCAUGGUUGUGUCUCCUGUUUAAACUUUGUGAAAAAAUCUGGCAUGUGCAGGGAUUGGCCACCUUGCUCAAGGCAUCUCACUGAUUGUCUGUAAUCAAGUUUACUACAUGCUGGUGCUGUGGUGGAGCUGAAACCAACAUCUGACUGUAGUCCUGAAAUCCCACUCACCCACAUCCUGGUUUUGAAGCAGUGGCUUUCUGUGAUUUCUUGGAAGCUUACUAGAGGUUGGUUAAUGAGAAGGAGGUGAUGGCAGUUAAGCUUCCUUAAAAUAUAGUUUCCCUAUCACCAGUGAUCUUCUCUUGCAACCUGUAGUUGCAGGAGUGGUGCUCAUAAUUUAAGAAGUGUUCAUAAAGGGCAGCAGUGAGGCCAAAUAGGCUUGGUAAUCAGCUGACUGCAUCCUAGACCAUGCUCCACGUUACUGAGCAGUGCACAGGAGCCUGCAGCAAAUCAUUCAAUGUUGAAUGAGUUGCUCCUAGCCUGAGAACCACUGUUCUAAAACGAAUUAUUUCUGCCUAAUUUGCACUGAUUUGGACCUAGCUGAACAAAUAAAAUAUAAGCAUGUUGGUAUCUAAAUGACAUCUGAAAUUAAGAAAUGAAUUAUAUACGUAUAUGAAAAUGUGUUUGAAUGAUUUCAUCUUAAAAGUCUUGGCACUGAAGCAAUAUUUCAGAAAUGUCUGUCACAAAACAGUUACAAGUACCUUGGUCUUUGUUUUUAACUUGUAUAUUAUCUAGUGCAAUAUUAGGUAACUAAAACAACAACAACAACAACAGAGAGUAACAGUCAUGUGGGUAUUUUCAAACCAUCCAAUACUCCUCCAUUGCACCAUCAGCAAAGACAUGCAUGCCCAAAGUAAGCACCUAUUUCUCUUUUGUUCUUGAACAAGAGCACAAUAUUGCCAACAAAUGCAUCUUGCACACAGUGGAUAAAAAUCAAAGAUUUUUUAAAAAAUGUGGGUUUUUAAAA
This is a long non-coding RNA of Podarcis raffonei (Aeolian wall lizard), 1067 nucleotides long. RefSeq lists it as uncharacterized. The record is from RefSeq and is a predicted model, not a curated record. NCBI's taxonomy places the organism in Eukaryota, Metazoa, Chordata, Lepidosauria, Squamata, Lacertidae. The transcript is spliced from 2 exons.